This 1484-nucleotide long non-coding RNA is filed under the name Macaca mulatta (Rhesus monkey). Its description in RNAcentral is "lncRNA (ENSMMUG00000057098.1)". The record is from RNAcentral. Lineage: Eukaryota; Metazoa; Chordata; Mammalia; Primates; Cercopithecidae.
CCACGGCGCCCCAGCCCGAGGCCUGGCGCAGAGCAGCGGGAGGCGGCGCAGGCCGCGGCGGGGCCUGCAGCGGCCCGCCGACCCCGCGAGGCAGCGGAGUGGGCCCUGGAGCGGCUCAGCCUCGGGCUGGGCGGCCAGGGGCUGCCGGGGACGGCCCCUCGGCUACUUACCGGGAGGAAGUAGAGCCCGGAUCCCGGGGACCCGGGCCGGACCGCGGAGAUGCCCCAAACUGACACGGCCGCCAUCUUGGAGACAUGCUCAGCCCUCUGUUGGAGAUUCUGCCUCCCCUGGGUCGGGUGUCCCUCCCUCUGUGUCCUUGUGAGUACACUCCCAAGGACAGUGUGGGUAGUGUGCUGUGUGUGGGUGUGCUCUGGUGCCGGACAGGGUGCAGGGGAGGGUUCUGGCAUCCUGUCCUUUGAGAGGGGACCUUGGUGAGCUUGUGUUUAUGUGAGAAUGCAUGUGAAGUCGGUCAUAUCCCACAACUCAAGGCCCCUUCCUCCUAGAGGGCAGCCCAGGAAUGGGCAGGCCUCGGCCAAGGCCUGGGCUCUCUUGAGGAGCCUUCCCUUGGUGCCUUCAGUUCCUGCCCUUGGCCCAUCUCCCCAGAAGGUGGUCUUUCCUUGGAGGGGACCGAGACUCCCUCCCCCGGCCCUGGGGUCAUGGUAGAAACACCGGCCUCAGCUCCGUAGUAUGCUCCUUGCCUGGCAUUCACAUUUCUUGGCCCAUUUCCUCCACUGGGAGCUGGGAUCCUAACCUCUCAAAGUGGGGACCCCCAAGAGGGUCUUGCAGGGUCGUGGGCAUGGAGCUGGUACAGAGUGUAUGUGCGGGGAGGGGUGACUGGGAACAGGGCCUGGGUGUCAGGAUAACUGGGAUGGCCUAGUGAUCUCUGUUCUUUGUGCCGUGAUUGAGAAUGCAGGUGAACUCCACAUAGUUAAAGUUGCCUUUCUUGUCAACAGGCACCUCCGGGUACAACUCACCCCUUUGCUGGUGUGUGAGGUGGUCACAGUGGUGGGCUUCCUGGAUAAAACCUGAAGUUGAGGCUUCCUCAUUGAAGUGUUGCAGAUCACAUCCUCAGGGUCCAUGCGGUUCAGCUGCUCCCCAAACACAGUGAGCAGCAUGGAGAAGUCAAUGGGCCCUGGGGCCUGGCUCAUCUCACCCUCUAGCUGUUAACCAUGUGGUUCUUCCCCAGCGAGGCCGGGCCUUCCUUGUCAAUAAGCCAUCACAGCUCUGGGCAAACCCGUGGAAGACCUCCUUAAACAUGAAGCUGGUCAAACUUCAUGAAGACAUUGGAUGUGGCCCACUGUGGCCUCUCGGUGGUCUGGCCGUGGCCUACCUGCUGGACAGCUUGGCUUCCUGGUGCAGAGAAGGCGCUGGGCUGGGUAUGUGGGGCGGGGCCAGCCAUCAGGUGUGGGCUCUCAUAUGGCAAUUCUAUGUUUAACUUAUUGAAGACCCACCAAACUGUUUUAUACAGCCACUGCACCAUUUUA